This 375-nucleotide long non-coding RNA is filed under the name Manacus vitellinus (golden-collared manakin). RNAcentral's name for it is "lncRNA (ENSMVIG00005015149.1)". Lineage: Eukaryota; Metazoa; Chordata; Aves; Passeriformes; Pipridae. The record is from RNAcentral.
AUGACAAUGACACUGCAAACAAGAACUCAUAGUAGGAAGUUAUCUGAGACUUUGGUUUUAAACAAUAUUCCUGGAAGUCAUCUUUUAGAACUACAAGAUAUUCACCACUUUGUGGGCGAUGAUGGUGAGCAUGAGUUGUUGGCUCUCACACUGCCUCUGGAAAAGCAUCCAAGCAGAAAGAAAGUUGAAGCAACUUGAAGCAUCUGGCCCAGAAAUCCCCAACAUAUUUUACUUCCCUACAAGUGGAGAAGACAUGUGCAAACAUGAAUGAAUACCAUAAAAAACCAGCCUUCUUCCUGAUGCUGUGCAUUGCUGUACAGAGUUGGUCUGCUUUACAUGUAGUUGAACUGAAUAAAUGGCCUGUCUUGAAUUACA